UAGGGAAUAUUGGACAAUGGGCGAAAGCCUGAUCCAGCCAUGCCGCGUGAGUGAUGAAGGCCUUCGGGUCGUAAAACUCUUUUCUGAGGGAAGAACAUCCCAGGUAGGAAAUGACUUGGGCUUGACGGUACCUCAGGAAUAAGCAACGGCUAACUCCGUGCCAGCAGCCGCGGUAAUACGGAGGUUGCGAGCGUUGUUCGGAAUUACUGGGCGUAAAGGGAGCGCAGGCGGUUUGAUAAGUCUGAAGUGAAAGCCCGGGGCUUAACCUCGGAAGUGCUUUGGAUACUGUCAGACUUGAGUACGUGAUAGGAGAGCGGAAUUCAGGGUGUAGCGGUGAAAUGCGUAGAUAUCCUGAGGAACACCAGUGGCGAAAGCGGCUCUCUGGCACGAAACUGACGCUGAGGCUCGAAAGCGUGGGGAUCAAACGGG
This 429-nucleotide ribosomal RNA is filed under the name uncultured bacterium. RNAcentral describes it as "bacterial SSU rRNA". It matches the Rfam family "Bacterial small subunit ribosomal RNA", at positions 355 to 776 of the family's 1533-position model. The record is from RNAcentral.